RNAcentral lists this ribosomal RNA (722 nucleotides) under Tiphobia horei. RNAcentral describes it as "partial 16S ribosomal RNA". It matches the Rfam family "Archaeal large subunit ribosomal RNA", at positions 1596 to 2663 of the family's 2987-position model. Lineage: Eukaryota; Metazoa; Mollusca; Gastropoda; Thiaridae. The record is from RNAcentral.
UAGCUCAUUCCAGAUAAAAAUUAAUAUGUUUUCACCCAUUUCUUGUAUGAAGACAAAGCUUAAAGUCGAUAUCAAGCUCACACCUAUGCUAGGAUGAGUAUCACCACCAUAUUAACUCCAUCGGUUAGCUACAAUUACCGAUAUAGGAGCCAUUUUCAUCUAUAAAGUAAAGGAAAGGAACUCGGCAAAAAACUGCUCCGCCUGUUUAUCAAAAACAUGGCUCCCUGAUUUUAAAAGAUGGGGAGUCUGACCUGCCCAGUGAAAUAUUUAACGGCCGCGGUACUCUGACCGUGCAAAGGUAGCGUAAUCAUUUGCCUUAUAAUUGAAGGCUAGUAUGAAUGGUUACACGUGAGCAAUACUGUCUCUUCUUUAUUCCCUAAAAAUUAACCUUUAGGUUAAAAGGCCUAAAUUCUAUUAAAGGACAAGAAGACCCUGUCGAGCUUAAAAGACACGAAUAGAGGUUGAUAUUUUAAAAAAUAAAUGUCCUAUGCAGCUUUUUAGUUGGGGCGACUAAGGAACAAAUAAAGCUUCUUUCCACCUUAAUUUACCUAUUAGUUUAGAUCCAGCAUAAUGUUGAUCAGGAAAAUUAGCUACCGCAGGGAUAACAGCAUAAUCUCUCUUGAGAGACCAAAUCGAAAGGGGGGGUUGUGACCUCGAUGUUGGACUAGAAUACCCAAGAGAUGCAGACGUCUCUAAAGGUUGGUCUGUUCGACCAUUAAAAU